AAACCUCUGAACGACCCCGGUCGUUCGUCCUGGGCCUCGCCUUGCGGCGUCGUCCGAAUGUCAUCGGUCUCAUCCGUGGACGAGUCCCCGUAGGGCGGACCACGGCGUGGGACUCUAAGCCCCUCUG
This 127-nucleotide unclassified non-coding RNA is filed under the name uncultured Ascomycota. RNAcentral describes it as "sequence contains ITS2". The record is from RNAcentral. Lineage: Eukaryota; Fungi; Ascomycota.